This 292-nucleotide ribosomal RNA is filed under the name uncultured bacterium. RNAcentral describes it as "partial 16S ribosomal RNA". It matches the Rfam family "Bacterial small subunit ribosomal RNA", at positions 505 to 796 of the family's 1533-position model. The record is from RNAcentral.
GUGUCAGCAGCCGCGGUAAUACUAAGGUCCCAAGCGUUAUCCGGAUUUAUUGGGUUUAAAGGGUGCGUAGGCGGGUUAUUAAGUCAGUGAUGAAAGCCUGCAGCUCAACUGCAGAAUUGCCAUUGAUACUGAUUAUCUUGAGUAUGAUUGAGGUGGGCGGAAUGUGUCAUGUAGCGGUGAAAUGCUUAGAUAUGACACAGAACACCGAUUGCGAAGGCAGCUCACUAAGUCAUAACUGACGCUGAUGCACGAAAGCGUGGGGAGCAAACAGGAUUAGAUACCCUUGUAGUCC